AUGUUAUAUGAUACACAUAUGCCAAGGCUUCUGUGGAUGCAGCAGUGGUCCAGCCCUUGCCAUGAGAAACAAGGACACCAUCUCAGCUCUACUGCAGCUUACAGAAAAAAGGACUUACAGAAUUUGUCAUGUCUGCAAAUACGUGAUAUGUACUUCAAAUUCCCGCUGCUUAUAAAGCAGCAGGAAGAGAGAAAUGAUGUUAAUGCAAGUUGACUGGUGCCAAAGAGUCUAAACAGCUCAGUCACUUUGGCAUCCCCAUCCAAGGUUCCAUGCACAUCUUUGCAGCAGUGUCCUCAGACUGCAGACAAGUGCACACAAGGUAGGAAACACCACACGGGGAAAAAGCGUGCACUGUUACAUAGCAGAACAACAUACAGUAGUUGCACUGCCUAGUGAUAAACACUCCUCUGUCAUAGAUAUGCCGUGUGUUUUUCUUAUAUGAUGACUGCUUGCAUGAAUGCUAAGACAGCUUUCAUUGUCCUCCAUAUCCAAGCAGACAAAAAUGAAGAAGAAGAAAGGAAGAUUAUUUAAAGGAAGGAAGAUUAUUUUCUCACUAAGCAAAGCUGUGGUGGGCUCUGUAAAAAUAAACCUGGUUAUUCUGGCA
Molecule: long non-coding RNA, 604 nt
Filed under: Apteryx owenii (little spotted kiwi)
Lineage: Eukaryota; Metazoa; Chordata; Aves; Apterygiformes; Apterygidae
Description: lncRNA (ENSAOWG00000013385.1)
Source: RNAcentral